UACGUAGGUGGCAAGCGUUGUCCGGAAUUAUUGGGCGUAAAGCGCGCGCAGGUGGUUCUUUAGGUCUGAUGUGAAAGCCCACGGCUCAACCGUGGAGGGUCAUUGGAAACUGGGGAACUUGAGUGCAGAAGAGGAAAGUGGAAUUCCACGUGUAGCGGUGAAAUGCGUAGAGAUGUGGAGGAACACCAGUGGCGAAGGCGGCUAUCUGGGCUGAAACUGACGCUGAGGCGCGAAGGCUAGGGGAGCAAACAGG
This 253-nucleotide ribosomal RNA is filed under the name uncultured bacterium. Its description in RNAcentral is "partial 16S ribosomal RNA". It matches the Rfam family "Bacterial small subunit ribosomal RNA", at positions 524 to 776 of the family's 1533-position model. The record is from RNAcentral.